RNAcentral lists this ribosomal RNA (247 nucleotides) under uncultured bacterium. RNAcentral describes it as "partial 16S ribosomal RNA". It matches the Rfam family "Bacterial small subunit ribosomal RNA", at positions 527 to 773 of the family's 1533-position model. The record is from RNAcentral.
GAAGGGGGCUAGAGUGGUUCGGAUUUACUGGGCGUAAAGAGCGCGCAGGCGGCUGGUCAAGUCCGAUGUGAAAUCUCCCGGCUUAACUGGGAAACUGCAUCGGAAACUGAGCGGCUUGAAGGUGGGAGAGGGUAGUGGAAUUCCCGGUGUAGUGGUGAAAUGCGUAGAUAUCGGGAGGAACACCAGUGGCGAAGGCGACUACCUGGCCCAUUCUUGACGCUGAGGCGCGAAAGCUAGGGGAGCGAAC